CGCCUCUUGAACCCCUAUAAGAGGUCCAGCCUGCCCAGUGACUCUGUUCAACGGCCGCGGUAUCCUAACCGUGCGAAGGUAGCGUAAUCACUUGUUCUUUAAAUGUGGACUAGUAUGAAUGGCAUCACGAAGGUUAUACUGUCUCCUUUUUCUAAUCAGUGAAACUAAUCUCCCCGUGAAGAAGCGAGGAUAAAACUAUAAGACGAGAAGACCCUAUGGAGCUUUAAACAUUUAUAACACUUGCUAAAUAAAAUACAAAUUUCAGAAUUAUUCACUCUUUAAGCAACUUGUCUAUAAGUUUUUGGUUGGGGUGACCGCGGAGCAUAAUAUAACCUCCAUGUUGAAAGAUCUACUUCUAAGCUAAGAGCUACACCUCUAAGCAUCAACAUAUUGACAUCCAUUGACCCAAUAUAUUUGAACAACGAACCAAGUUACCCUAGGGAUAACAGCGCAAUCCACUUCAAGAGCUCCUAUCGACAAGUGGGUUUACGACCUCGAUGUUGGAUCAGGGUUUCCCAGUGGUGCAGCCGCUACUAAAGGUUCGUUUGUUCAACGAUUAAAACCCUACG
This is a ribosomal RNA of 569 nucleotides. It matches the Rfam family "Bacterial large subunit ribosomal RNA", at positions 1832 to 2600 of the family's 2925-position model.